CAUUAAUAUUUUAUUCGUCUCAUUUUCAAUUCGUGUCUAAUUUCAUCGUUGUUUCUUCGUUCAUGUUGCCUGUUCUGUGAUUUGCUUCUGGCGUUCAGAGACAUACUUAUAGAAGCACAUGAUUUGUUCGUUGUUGGUGAAUUGCAUGUUCAGUGAUUUAAGCGUCUGAUCUGGUGGCUCGUUAGUCGCACGUCUCGGGUUUGUCACAUAUUUUAGUAUUACAUUGUAUUAUUUUUUAUUGUAAAAAUUAGUGCAUCCCGAGACGGUAGCGUUCCGGUUUGAAGCCGCUAACGAACACCAGAUCCCAGGUAACAGGCUGACGAGCCUCAUAUUAUUAUUAUACAUUUAUUAUUGUGUUGAGCCAGCAGGGCUACCUAUUAGUUUUUUAACACAUUAUUAUAUUGUUGAGCCAACAAGGCUACCUAGUCAUUUAUAUUGUUUUGUAUAUUUUUGGUAAAAAUAAAGUUAUCAUUAUCAAAAGUUG
Long non-coding RNA from Acyrthosiphon pisum (pea aphid), 484 nucleotides. RefSeq lists it as uncharacterized. The record is from RefSeq and is a predicted model, not a curated record. The transcript has 2 exons. NCBI's taxonomy places the organism in Eukaryota, Metazoa, Arthropoda, Insecta, Hemiptera, Aphididae.